Molecule: long non-coding RNA, 336 nt
Filed under: Callithrix jacchus (white-tufted-ear marmoset)
Lineage: Eukaryota; Metazoa; Chordata; Mammalia; Primates; Cebidae
Description: lncRNA (ENSCJAG00000072904.1)
Source: RNAcentral
AUGGAACCAAGCCGACAGGAGCAGAGAAAAACAAGAAAGACCCUUCUCUCUGCUUCCUCCCUCCAAUCCCCCAUAGCGUCUGCAGUUGGUAGAAACCAAGAGAAAAUUAGCAAACUUUGCAUUCUGGGAAAUGUACUUCACAGGGGCACAAAGGUGGUGGUUUUCUCUGCUCCAGAAAUCAAGCAUCCAAUACGACAACAAGCGAAUGUUGUAGUCAUCUACCAGAUUAAAGCACAAGUAACAUGCAGAGAAGCAGGAAGCCUGAGGAGAGAGAUCUCUGCUUACUGUGUCUUUAGAACAAAAAUGGGGAUUUUCAACUUCGCAACUCUGAACUGA